GCUCAGCCAGCUUUUUAGGUGCCUAUUGUGCAGGCUGCCUUCUAUGCCCAGUGGGAUAUCUGUGAUACUGUUGUGUUAAUGUGCUUCAGCUUUCUGCAGUUUUUACUGCCACAUUUUCCUCCUCUGGCUGCAAUCAACCUGAAGUUUCUGGUGUGUCAGUGGAAUAAAAGAGAAAGAGGUGGGAUGUAUAUAGCAAGCCAGACUGGAAGUAGAGUAAUAACAAAGUGAUAUUUUCAGAAGAAACAGCAGCUAAGCAGAGCCCCCGUGCAGCCCAGAAGCUCAGCAUGGGCCUGUCUAAGCCUAUAUGCUGUAAUGGGGGUGCCAUGCAGCCUCUUCAGGACCUACCCAUGGCUGCCUUCCUAAUGGGAGUUCAACUUCUUUGUGAGGGAAGGAAGAGGGAAGAGACGGAAAGCUGCUAGGGGUGAAGGUGUGGUAGCUGAUAGCCUGCUCUGAAAGGUCUAAUAUGAACAGUAGCUUCUUCUGAGCCCGUGCUCCACCCUACCAUACACUGCCAGAACAGGCGAAAUGCUGGAAGCUUCAGGGUAACUCUCCCAGUUCAACUCAAGGCACCAUCUCCAGGACCUUUGCAACAGAGAAUCCUGUGUCUGUCCAGACAGCAACUGACCAUCCAGUUUAACAUUUUGAUUCCCCAAGUGAGUGUUACCCUGUGUCAAGGGCUUGUUAAUUUAUUUAACAAACAAUCUCUCCAUGGACAUUUAUUCAGUAAUAUGAUAUAUGUACUUACAAAGACACCAACCCACUAUGAAACUGCAAUUCUACUUAAGACACAUCGGUGGGAAAAAGCCCAGGGCAUCCAUCUGCAGCUGCUUUAAUAAAGUAUUCAUUACUAUAUUGCCACUGAACUUGGUAUUCACAUAUUAAGAUCUCCCUACCAAAAGGAAAGAUAUUCUUUUCCUCUUUCACCAGUGCUGAGACCUUUUGUGGAAGCAGCAGUGACUUCUUUUUUCCAAAGAUGCAUAUACCUACAGUGGAUCGAAAACACAACAUCAUACCAGAAACUGUGAAGAAAACCAACUCUGUCCCAGAUGAAAUAAGGCCAAUUGGAGUAGAUGUGGAAGAUUUCUUUAGGAAAGAUAACGAACCCACAGUCAUGCUAAGCCAGCAGGAGGAGUAAGGGAGUAUCCUCAGCACUGGGUCUGCACUUUGGCAGGUUGCUUUGCAUUUUAAGAACUGGGUUAUCCUUCAGAUCCUGACUAGGAAGUAGCAGCCGGUGGAUGUCAGUUAAUACUUCAUGAGCACUGAGUGGUGGCUACUCUAGCACCUGCAACUUGCAUCAGCUGCAGCCUAUUGCCCGAUAAUUAGUGACAAUAUUGAAGGAUGGUCAUCUGAUAACAAGAAGUCAUUUGCAUAACCAUAAGCUGCCUGCUGGAAUUAAAGAGCCUCUUUCCUUGCAAAUCCAUUAUAAACGGACAUAAACUAAAAGACUGGGUUUAGCUUUUCAAAGCUACCUAAGGGAUUCCUAGCUUUGAAAAUCUCAGCCAAAAUGUGUACUGCUGUAAAUGAGAACAAAGCAAUUUACUGUGUAUUGGCAUGGGGAGAAAAAAAAUAGUGUGUGUAAAUAAUUUAGAAGUGAGGCUGCUCUUUGGAGGGCUAGCUAUAUUAGCUUUAUGAUAAUAGCUUUUCUCUUGAACAUUGCUGCAAAUUGCCACAUUGUAAUAACAGUUCAUCUGGACCUAAGAAAUGCCCAUAUACUUUGAUGUGCAGCCGUGUCCUUUCUUAACCAGAGAACUAGGGAAGUGAAAAGAUGUGGUGCCUGUUGUGAGAUAAAUGUUUGUGUCUUUGUUUCAGACUCUACAGUGAGAAUCUGGGAAGCUGUAAGGGUCAGAAAUGAUAAAAAUUGGAAUUUUUUGCUUGGGUGGUGGUUUGGGCUAUACCCAGAAGUUGCAGUUCUUCUUGAAGGUCUUCAAAACUGUUUUGUAGGUAUUUGUACUGCUCUUAUGUAAAUACAAAUGGGAUCUUAGUCACAUGCUUAAACAUAUUUUGUCUUUAAUACAGCAGAAAAACUGUCAUAAAAGAGCUGUGAGACAGUGAAAGAAAUCUGAGCAUCUUUGCUGUACAGUGCAGUGACAGAAUGCUGCAAACCUACUUGCCUUGAGUCAGCUCAGUUUCUAUAUUUUAGUGAAGGGCAGUAUUUGCCUUCUUCCUCCUGUCUUCCAGCAGUAAUGCAUAAAGAGCGAAUAUUAUACAAAUACUCAUAUGCCUGAAGUUAGAAUUGGCUGAUGUAUCCUCAGCAAAUUUGCAUUUAAUUUAAUCUGCUGCAAUUCAUUCAGUCCUUUUAAAAAUGCUCAUAAACUAAGCUGUUGCAACCCAGUCUCUCAGAAAAUCUGUUUAUUAGAAAGCUGCUAAUUAAUCUUUUCCCACUUUUUAUCUAAUGCUUUUAUUUCAUAAAGAGUUGAUAUGGCUUUUAGUUCUAAAUGAAAUUUUUCAGGAUGACUGUCUUACAUUAUUUAGUAUGUGUUAGCAAACAGGGUACCAGUUCACAGCUCAGCUUAGAUUGUUGGGAAUUCUAAGAUGAUUAUUUUUUAUUGCUUCCUAGAGGGUGCUUGCAGCUGCUUACGUGUAUGAUGAAAUCUAUUUAUAUCUGUUCAGGAGCAACUACUACUGUGUUACAGACUAAAGUUUAACCUGAAGAAGGCUGCUUGCUUUCCCCUUUUUGUGUUUCACAUUUUGUUGUUCUUUUUCUUGACAGUUUUUUCAAGUUACAGGUGGAAGAAAAGUGGGACAAAAUGUCAGUUAGUGAGGAAAAUAUGUAGAAGCAUGACAUGAUGUUACCUUCAUGUCCAUUCUUCCCUGGGCCUGUCAAACAUGAUGCAAAACAGAUGGCAGAGGCAACACAGUGCCAUGGGAGAGCUUUUGAUCUUUGGUGCUGACUUUCAUGGCAAAACUGUCCAAUCACCUUUAGAGCAGGCACAAUGCCAUAGCAACAGAUGAGGAGGAGUGUAAGUAGCAAUAUAUCAUAUCUGUUUGUUGAGCUGAGAAUGUCCAAAAGGUUUUAGGUUCAAAUAAACAGCUUGCCUGCACUUGGUGCGGCAAAGGGAGAAGAGAAGGUGAUUCAGAGCUAUGUGUGUCCUUCUCAGCUCUUUUGUUGCAUGUUGUCUUUGGUAAACUGCUCUUUGAUAUAACCUAGAGCAGCAUAAAUAUAAAUCUCCUUUUAGCAAGUGAUUUGUUUCCCAAAAGAUAGAUCUGUUCUACUACCUUCUCUCUCUAACUCUGAUUUUAGCUUUGAUGGCAAAUAAAACUGUAAGUAGGAUGCUCAGGAAACCACAGUGUGAACAUUCAGUUAAAAAGCUGAUGUUUGUCAAGCUUUUGGAUUAGCCUGUCAAGCCUUAUUAUUCUUUCCGCACCAACCAGCAAAAUAAGGCUUGAUUUCAUAUUCCGGAUUCUUUACAUCUAUUUCAGUGCAUCUUAGUCAGUAAGGCACAGUGGUAUUUGAGAUUUUUUGGACAUCUUCCUUUUAUAUAUCUACAUAUGUUUUGUAUUUCUGGCUUGUUGAUAAGCCCUGACGGUCAUCUUUGGAUAGUCAUACCCAAACAAGAGAGGAAAUAAAGAUAUCUGCCUUAGAUGCCAUGUAUUUUUGGAUGUAUAAGACCUUCCCAAGGAUGAAAAUGGAAAAUUUAGUAGGAGUUUCUCUAACUGGAGGUUUUUCAAUCUCACAUUAAUUGUUGCAAGAUGGUAUGAAAUACUUAAUAUUGUUCAGGAGUAAGGAACAAAUAAAUCCACGCUAUCUCACUGCCUCAUUGAGAUUUCUUACGGCAUCCUGUUGUAAUAUUUUUCUUAAGUUGUCAUUAGUUGUCAUAAUUAAGUUGUUACACGAAGUGUAACAUUAUUGAAAAAGCUUAAAGAUUUUAGAGAUUAAGUCUGUAUGGUUCAGUAGAAAUGUAAUUUGCCUCAACAGAAAUUGCUAUGAAUUGAGAGAAUUAAACAGAACAUGGAAGUGUUGCAGUUAGCUUUCAAAGCAUUUUGUGGAAGGAUGGAAUUUUCAGUGAAAUCAUGAAAUUUUCCAGGAUAAAUCGGGGAUCAAAAAUAAUCACUUAAAAAUCUUAUACAUCUGAGAAAACUGUAUUUACUCCUUUCAAAACUCCUUUCACCUUAGCACAUCUAAACUGGUUUUGAGCUG
This is a long non-coding RNA of Gallus gallus (chicken), 4138 nucleotides long. NCBI's taxonomy places the organism in Eukaryota, Metazoa, Chordata, Aves, Galliformes, Phasianidae. The record is from Ensembl.